Molecule: microRNA, 22 nt
Filed under: Prunus persica (peach)
Lineage: Eukaryota; Viridiplantae; Streptophyta; Magnoliopsida; Rosales; Rosaceae
Description: microRNA miRNA_354
Source: RNAcentral
GGAAUGUUGUCUGGCUCGAGGC